GAUGAACGCUGGCGGCGUGCCUAAUACAUGCAAGUCGAGCGAACGGACGAGAGGCUUGCUUCUCUGAUGUUAGCGGCGGACGGGUGAGUAACACGUGGAUAACCUACCUAUAAGACUGGGAUAACUUCGGGAAACCGGAGCUAAUACCGGAUAAUAUUUUGAACCGCAUGGUUCAAAAGUGAAAGACGGUCUUGCUGUCACUUAUAGAUGGAUCCGCGCUGCAUUAGCUAGUUGGUAAGGUAACGGCUUACCAAGGCAACGAUGCAUAGCCGACCUGAGAGGGUGAUCGGCCACACUGGAACUGAGACACGGUCCAGACUCCUACGGGAGGCAGCAGUAGGGAAUCUUCCGCAAUGGGCGAAAGCCUGACGGAGUAACGCCGCGUGAGUGAUGAAGGUCUUCGGAUCGUAAAACUCUGUUAUUAGGGAAGAACAUAUGUGUAAGUAACUGUGCACAUCUUGACGGUACCUAAUCAGAAAGCCACGGCUAACUACGUG
RNAcentral lists this ribosomal RNA (497 nucleotides) under uncultured bacterium. RNAcentral describes it as "partial 16S ribosomal RNA". It matches the Rfam family "Bacterial small subunit ribosomal RNA", at positions 28 to 507 of the family's 1533-position model. The record is from RNAcentral.